UGAUAGAGGCGCGAAUGACAAGAGUAUGUUCUUCUACACUCAGGCAAGAGGAGAACGGAAAGGGGAAUUCGCCGAGGUUCUGCGUCUGUUGCCUGGCAGCGCAGCGCCGGGUUGUAGGAGAAUAUCCUGCAGACUGUCGCUUUCCGGAGAGGAAUGCGGAGCGCUGUUA
RNAcentral lists this non-coding RNA (169 nucleotides) under Neglectibacter timonensis. RNAcentral's name for it is "Lysine riboswitch". It matches the Rfam family "Lysine riboswitch aptamer". From Rfam's summary of the family: Riboswitches are metabolite binding domains within certain messenger RNAs that serve as precision sensors for their corresponding targets. Allosteric rearrangement of mRNA structure is mediated by ligand binding, and this results in modulation of gene expression. The record is from RNAcentral. Lineage: Bacteria; Bacillati; Bacillota; Clostridia; Eubacteriales; Oscillospiraceae.